GAUGAACGCUGGCGGCGUGCCUAAUACAUGCAAGUCGAGCGAACGGACGAGAAGCUUGCUUCUCUGAUGUUAGCGGCGGACGGGUGAGUAACACGUGGAUAACCUACCUAUAAGACUGGGAUAACUUCGGGAAACCGGAGCUAAUACCGGAUAAUAUUUUGAACCGCAUGGUUCAAAAGUGAAAGACGGUCUUGCUGUCACUUAUAGAUGGAUCCGCGCUGCAUUAGCUAGUUGGUAAGGUAACGGCUUACCAAGGCAACGAUGCAUAGCCGACCUGAGAGGGGGACGGCCCCACUUGGAAUGGGAACCGGGCCCAACCCCCACGGGGGGGCAGCGGAGGGGAUUUUUCCGCAGGGGGGGAAACCCUGAGGGGGAAACGCGCGGGAGGGGAAGAGGUUUUUGGGUCGGUAAACCUUUUUUAUUGGGGAAAAACAAAUGGUAAAGUAAUGGGGCAAUUUUGAAGGGUACCAAACAAAAAAGCCAGGGCAAACUCGGG
RNAcentral lists this ribosomal RNA (496 nucleotides) under uncultured bacterium. Its description in RNAcentral is "partial 16S ribosomal RNA". It matches the Rfam family "Bacterial small subunit ribosomal RNA", at positions 28 to 506 of the family's 1533-position model. The record is from RNAcentral.